Molecule: ribosomal RNA, 253 nt
Filed under: uncultured bacterium
Lineage: Bacteria
Description: partial 16S ribosomal RNA
Rfam family: Bacterial small subunit ribosomal RNA
Source: RNAcentral
GACAGAGGGUGCAAGCGUUGUUCGGAAUCACUGGGCGUAAAGGGUGCGUAGGCGGGGCUUUAAGUCAGGGGUGAAAUCCUGGAGCUCAACUCCAGAACUGCCUUUGAUACUGAAGAUCUUGAGUUCGGGAGAGGUGAGUGGAACUGCGAGUGUAGAGGUGAAAUUCGUAGAUAUUCGCAAGAACACCAGUGGCGAAGGCGGCUCACUGGCCCGAUACUGACGCUGAGGCACGAAAGCGUGGGGAGCAAACAGG